Phacochoerus africanus (Common warthog) is the source of this 982-nucleotide long non-coding RNA. RefSeq lists it as uncharacterized. The record is from RefSeq and is a predicted model, not a curated record. The transcript has 3 exons. Lineage: Eukaryota; Metazoa; Chordata; Mammalia; Artiodactyla; Suidae.
UGGGCGUCCACCCUGCAGGGCUGGGCGUCUCCCCCACCACACCCUGCCUCUAACUUCUGUUCUGGCCGAGCCGCUCUCUCACUCCCAAGACCGUCUGGUUGGUGGAGUUCCCUGGUGGCAGCCGGUUAAGGAUCCAGCGUUGUCACUGCCGUGGCUGGGACGCCCUAGCAGUUACUGUGUACCAUGCCACUGCUCCAUCAACAGGGGAAGCGCGACACCUCCCAACCCAGGCCUUGGGGUGUCUCCAGACACAGUCUCUGUGGGAGGAGAGAGGAAAAAAACAUCAGAAUAACUCACAGGUGCAGAGCCACCCAUUCUGUUCACACGUUUUCUGCUCCUCCCUUUUGGAUGAGAGCUCCAGGCUGGGCCCUGGACCCUCUGGGGCAGAUGAGCUGCUUAUGUCCGGCAAUGUUCUGGGGAGAACCACAGGCCGGUGGGGUGCCUCUGUGUGAUGGCCUGGGGUGCUGAGAUUCCUUCCAGAAGGAAAGGAACACAUGCAUUUAUUUUUACCUGUGAGCUAGGGGAUCAGAGAGCUGGGAAGACCCUUGCAAAGGCAGCUCUGGAACUACCCCAGACCAGGGACCCCUUCCCCAGCACCCUGCUUAUCCUGGGGACCUGGCAGGAGAGAGGCUGGCCUGUUGGCCAGAGAGGGGCACUCCAACAACCCUGAGCGAAAGGUCUUUCUUAGUUGGGGUUUUUUUUUUGUUGUUUGCUACAACCACUCACAGCCUCUAAUCCAAGAAUUUCCAAGACUCGGACUGUAUGGACUCUUGGAGGCUGCAGCAUAGCCUGCAACCUCGGGUCCUUCUGCUCCAGUGGUGAAAGAACUUUCUGAUGUUGAAGAGAGAGAAAAAAAGGCGAUGGAUGGGGGCACUGAUCUUUAAGCUCCCCCUGGGAGGUCCGGGCUUCUAGUCGUCCUUCCACCUGUCCCCAAAGGCUCUUUGAAAACCCUUCAACUGGAUUAAAGAUUUGAUUAACUCGC